AUUGAACGCUGGCGGCAGGCCUAACACAUGCAAGUCGAGCGGUAGAGAGGUGCUUGCAUCUCUUGAGAGCGGCGGACGGGUGAGUAAUGCCUAGGAAUCUGCCUAGUGGUGGGGGAUAACGUUCGGAAACGGACGCUAAUACCGCAUACGUCCUACGGGAGAAAGCGGGGGAUCUUCGGACCUCGCGCCAUUAGAUGAGCCUAGGUCGGAUUAGCUAGUUGGUGAGGUAAUGGCUCACCAAGGCGACGAUCCGUAACUGGUCUGAGAGGAUGAUCAGUCACACUGGAACUGAGACACGGUCCAGACUCCUACGGGAGGCAGCAGUGGGGGAAUAUUGGACAAUGGGCGAAAGACCUGAUCCAGCCAUGCCGCGUGCAGGAAGACGGUCCUAUGGAUUGUAAACUGCUUUUA
This 411-nucleotide ribosomal RNA is filed under the name uncultured bacterium. Its description in RNAcentral is "bacterial SSU rRNA". It matches the Rfam family "Bacterial small subunit ribosomal RNA", at positions 30 to 438 of the family's 1533-position model. The record is from RNAcentral.